GCAAAGAAAACAUGUCUUUAUAACAUCUCCAUGUUUGACUCACUUUAACACAGGUGUAAAUGAAAAGUAAUUUUUAGUAUUUUCAAAGGAAACAUUAGGUAUGUUCUUUCUCAAAAAUGAAAUAAUAAUCUUAAAACGGGAUGUUUGGGUAGCAUAAUGUCCGUUUCUUCACAAACAGGGCCAUUAUGUGAGUGUGCAGGUUUGUAAUGCAUGUGUGUGUGUGAGAGAGAGAGA
RNAcentral lists this unclassified non-coding RNA (234 nucleotides) under Hevea brasiliensis (rubber tree). Lineage: Eukaryota; Viridiplantae; Streptophyta; Magnoliopsida; Malpighiales; Euphorbiaceae. The record is from RNAcentral.